UACGUAGGGUGCAAGCGUUAAUCGGAAUUACUGGGCGUAAAGCGUGCGCAGGCGGUGAUGUAAGACAGGUGUGAAAUCCCCGGGCUUAACCUGGGAACUGCAUUUGUGACUGCAUCGCUGGAGUGCGGCAGAGGGGAAUGGAAUUCCGCGUGUAGCAGUGAAAUGCGUAGAUAUGCGGAGGAACACCGAUGGCGAAGGCAAUCCCCUGGGCCUGCACUGACGCUCAUGCACGAAAGCGUGGGGAGCAAACAGG
RNAcentral lists this ribosomal RNA (253 nucleotides) under uncultured bacterium. RNAcentral's name for it is "partial 16S ribosomal RNA". It matches the Rfam family "Bacterial small subunit ribosomal RNA", at positions 524 to 776 of the family's 1533-position model. The record is from RNAcentral.